CUUUGAGGCCAUGCCACUCUGAACAUGCCUGAUCCUGUCUGAUCUUGGAAUCUAAGCAGGGUCAGGCCUGGUUAUUACUUGGAUGGGAGACCACCUAGCAAGACCGGGUGUUGUAGGCG
RNAcentral lists this ribosomal RNA (119 nucleotides) under Pteropus alecto (black flying fox). Lineage: Eukaryota; Metazoa; Chordata; Mammalia; Chiroptera; Pteropodidae. The record is from RNAcentral.